Camellia sinensis is the source of this 946-nucleotide non-coding RNA. Lineage: Eukaryota; Viridiplantae; Streptophyta; Magnoliopsida; Ericales; Theaceae. The record is from RefSeq and is a predicted model, not a curated record.
GCCAACUGAUCCUGACGAAGCCCUGGGUACAGGUACUUUGCCCAGAAUUUUCUAUAAAUUCCCCAAAAUAAAAUGAAUAAAAGCGGAGACUUCACAAAAUGAUAGGACCAUCAGUUAAGGUUUGUUUGGACUGACGAAGCUCUACUCAAAUCCAGCCACUUCUGCUCCGCAACUGCGAAUUGGGUCACACAGCAACUAUCAGCGGCAUCACCGACCAGGAAGAUAGCUGGAAGUGUUCUUUUUCAAAAAAGAAAAGAUUUGACAGUUGCUUGAAGCAGGAAAUUUUGAGGGAAUAAAAGCACAAAUUUUCCAAUGAAUACAGCGGCAGUUUAUGAGAAGUUCACUAAAGCAAAACCUCUUUCUUAUGAAUGAAGCUGUAAAAUCCAUUCAUGCAGCCCAGCAGGAAAACUAAGAAAGACUUGUGAAAAUGGCAAGCUAUUUGUGGAGGAAAUAUGCAGAUUAUGUGUACUCAAAGUGGGAAAAAACUAUUCUUUGGGACAUGGUUGACCCAUACAGGAGACCCAAAUCUUUCACUCCUCUUGUCACGAUCUAUAUCCUUGCUUUCUAUACUGGGGUCAUUGGGUCCGCUAUCACAGAGCAACUCUACAAGGAGAAGUACUGGGAAGAUCACCCCGGCCACGUAGUGCCUUUAAUGAAACCAAAGUUCUAUUAUGGCCCUUGGAAGAUACUGAAAGGGGAGGCUCUCCCACCUGACCAGUGAAAUAUGCAAGCGACCUGUUGAACACAAUUGUCAGUGCUCUUCUAUCUUAAUUUACUGUAGUUUAAAGAUGAAUAUUGGGCGAUUUUUUAAACAAAAACAAGUUCUGGUAUUUUGCUCUUGUAUUGACAUGCUUCGUUGUUAAUCAGAAUUGGUUUAAACAGUUGUGAUUAUCUUUCCCAUGUGUGAUCAUUAAUAUAGUGCAAGAUUUGCUGUCAUGAAUGCUAA